Molecule: ribosomal RNA, 484 nt
Filed under: Neisseria dumasiana
Lineage: Bacteria; Pseudomonadati; Pseudomonadota; Betaproteobacteria; Neisseriales; Neisseriaceae
Description: bacterial SSU rRNA
Rfam family: Bacterial small subunit ribosomal RNA
Source: RNAcentral
GAGUAACGCAUCGGAACGUACCGAGUAGUGGGGGAUAACUGUCCGAAAGGAUGGCUAAUACCGCAUACGCUUUGAGAAGGAAAGCGGGGGAUCUUCGGACCUCGCGCUAUUCGAGCGGCCGAUGUCUGAUUAGCUAGUUGGUGGGGUAAAGGCCUACCAAGGCGACGAUCAGUAGCGGGUCUGAGAGGAUGAUCCGCCACACUGGGACUGAGACACGGCCCAGACUCCUACGGGAGGCAGCAGUGGGGAAUUUUGGACAAUGGGCGCAAGCCUGAUCCAGCCAUGCCGCGUGUCUGAAGAAGGCCUUCGGGUUGUAAAGGACUUUUGUCAGGGAAGAAAAGCUUGAGGCUAAUACCCUUGAGUGAUGACGGUACCUGAAGAAUAAGCACCGGCUAACUACGUGCCAGCAGCCGCGGUAAUACGUAGGGUGCGAGCGUUAAUCGGAAUUACUGGGCGUAAAGCGGGCGCAGACGGUUACUUAAGU